CCUACGGGAGGCAGCAGUGGGGAAUAUUGGGCAAUGGGCGCAAGCCUGACCCAGCAACGCCGCGUGAAGGAAGAAGGCUUUCGGGUUGUAAACUUCUUUUAAGAGGGAAGAGCAGACGACGGUACCUCUUGAAUAAGCCACGGCUAACUACGUGCCAGCAGCCGCGGUAAUACGUAGGUGGCCAGCGGUGUCCGGAUUUACUGGGUGUAACGGGCGUGUAGCCGGGCUGACAAGUCAGAUGUGAAAUUCCGGGGCGCAACCCCGGACCUGCAUUUGAAACUGUUGGUCUUGAGUAGCGGAGAGGCAGGCGGAAUUCCUAGUGUAGCGGUGAAAUGCGUAGAUAUUAGGAGGAACACCAGUGGCGAAGGCGGCUUACUGGACUGUAACUGACGUUGAGGCUCGAAAGCGUGGGUAGCAAACAGGAUUAGAUACCCCAGUAGUC
RNAcentral lists this ribosomal RNA (442 nucleotides) under uncultured bacterium. Its description in RNAcentral is "partial 16S ribosomal RNA". It matches the Rfam family "Bacterial small subunit ribosomal RNA", at positions 338 to 795 of the family's 1533-position model. The record is from RNAcentral.